CCCGGAAGCUACUAUGAAGCCUAGGCUGACUCUGAACUGGAAAGCGGUCCUGUCUACUUAUCGUGGCUAAAGUGUGCUUGUCUCAGCUGGGAAGCAUCCCCAGGAGGUCCGAAGUGUAUGUAUGUAAGACAGUCUCAUCUCAUGGAAGCCUCUGCUCAAGAACAAAGGUAUCUAUCUCAGCUUCUCCAGCCAAACCAAAGCAGGAGAAGCCCAGAGAGGGAGCCAGCCUGGUCUUGGAAGGAAGUAGGCCAGCAGGAGGGAGGAGGCAGAGCCAGGAAUGGCAUGUGUCUGUAGAGCAGCCCGUGAUUUCCUUUGGCUUUGCCUGAGCCCCUCUCCCACCAGGAAUACCCAUGUACAUGGAACUCUGGCCGGAUGGUCCAGGACAGAGCGAGCAUCCUGGCCUCAUGCUUGGCUGUGGCUUCCUUAACAGUGUCCAGAGGGCACAUUUAGCACAUCAUGAAGAAUGAAUACAGACAGGACCCUGAUUUCAGCAGGCUACCUGAUGCCAUUGUAAGGUGGCACCCAGGAACCAGUCUCAGGGCUCUGUACGGUUUGGGCUGAUUCUUGAUUCUGACCAAGCUCUAGGGCUGCUACAGUAGCUUACAGCCUCCUAUUAUCCAUGGGGGAAUAAGACUCCUCACUCUAACAGUAGCAGCACGGCCGGGCUUAAAGCUUUCCCCAUGUUCAUGCCCAGAAACCCCAGUUCCCAGGUACCCCACAAGAUGGACUACACAACACAGCUUUACUCAGACAGGAUCAGACAUUUAUAAAACAAGUACAUGUUCACAGACAAACUGGGCGAAACACAACCUUCCCAGGAAUAGGGAACUCCAUAAAGUGCUUCUUGCCUGCGACCAUCUCUUCCCCAUGCUACGUCCCAGGAGCAGGACAUGGGGCACUGUUCUGUGACAGCCCUCACGGGCACUCAGGCUAGGCAGAAGGAGGCAUGAAGCCAUCCCAGGCCCCCAGGCCACUCCAUCACAUAGCUCUGGGGGUAGACCAUUUCAUUCAUUGGAAGGCUGUCCUGGGAAUGAGCCAGCAUGUCAAGGAGAUGGAAGGGCAGGUGAUCUUGCCAACUUGUACCUUGGGAAGAGAGCCAUCAUCAAAAAAGCAGAGAAGGGCAUUGCCCCCAUAGCUGAAGGUGUUGCAGAAUAAAUACUGGAUCCAGACCUAGCCUUUGAUCCUCUUCAGACCAGUUCUCCAGGCUUGCCUUGCUUUUCCUCUAGCAAGAUCCCUUGGCUCUUUCCUCUUGGCCUGGGGCUAGGGAGCAGGGAGGCCACAGCCCAGAGCCCUGAACACACAUCACCAGUGCCCCAUUCUUCCACAUGAUCACAGGAUGCUUCUAACCAGAACGAUGGACAUAAACAGUUGGACUAAAGGCAGCUCUCUGCUGAGAAAACCUGAGGCCAUCUCAAAAAGAAGCCUGUCAGAUGUGCUGGACAGCUGGAGGAGAGGGGACCUGACCCCAGGGUUCUUGGGUUCUUGUCUGACACAGUGAAGGUCAGGGCCAAGGGCAUUAACAACUCUGAGGCUAGGAAAGGUCACAGGGGAGGUAGAGAGGAAAAGGCCCAGAGGCCAGCUUAAUGUUACAUGUGAGAACAAAAACCCCAACAGGAACGAACACACACACACACACACACACA
Meriones unguiculatus (Mongolian gerbil) is the source of this 1643-nucleotide long non-coding RNA. RefSeq lists it as uncharacterized. Lineage: Eukaryota; Metazoa; Chordata; Mammalia; Rodentia; Muridae. The record is from RefSeq and is a predicted model, not a curated record. The transcript is spliced from 2 exons.